UACAGAGGGUGCUAGCGUUGUCCGGAAUUAUUGGGCGUAAAGAGCUCGUAGGCGGUCUGUCGCGUCUGCUGUGAAAACUCAGGGCUUAACCCUGAGCUUGCAGUGGGUACGGGCAGACUAGAGUGCGGUAGGGGAGACUGGAAUUCCCGGUGUAGCGGUGAAAUGCGUAGAUAUCAGGAGGAACACCGGUGGCGAAGGCGGUUCUCUGGGCAUUACCUGACGCUGAGGAGCGAAAGCAUGGGGAGCGAACAGG
This 253-nucleotide ribosomal RNA is filed under the name uncultured bacterium. RNAcentral's name for it is "partial 16S ribosomal RNA". It matches the Rfam family "Bacterial small subunit ribosomal RNA", at positions 524 to 776 of the family's 1533-position model. The record is from RNAcentral.